Molecule: ribosomal RNA, 425 nt
Filed under: uncultured bacterium
Lineage: Bacteria
Description: bacterial SSU rRNA
Rfam family: Bacterial small subunit ribosomal RNA
Source: RNAcentral
GGGGAAUUUUGGACAAUGGGCGCAAGCCUGAUCCAGCCAUUCCGCGUGCAGGAUGAAGGCCCUCGGGUUGUAAACUGCUUUUGUACGGAACGAAAAGGUCUUCUCUAAUACAGAGGGCUCAUGACGGUACCGUAAGAAUAAGCACCGGCUAACUACGUGCCAGCAGCCGCGGUAAUACGUAGGGUGCAAGCGUUAAUCGGAAUUACUGGGCGUAAAGCGUGCGCAGGCGGUGAUGUAAGACAGUUGUGAAAUCCCCGGGCUCAACCUGGGAACUGCAUCUGUGACUGCAUUGCUGGAGUGCGGCAGAGGGGGAUGGAAUUCCGCGUGUAGCAGUGAAAUGCGUAGAUAUGCGGAGGAACACCGAUGGCGAAGGCAAUCCCCUGGGCCUGCACUGACGCUCAUGCACGAAAGCGUGGGGAGCAAAC